CAGUAGCCGCGGGAAUACGUAGGGUGCGAGCGUUGUCCGGAAUUAUUGGGCGUAAAGAGCUCGUAGGCGGCUUGUCGAGUCGGAUGUGAAAGCCCGGGGCUUAACUCCGGGUCUGCAUUCGAUACGGGCAGGCUAGAGUGUGGUAGGGGAGAUCGGAAUUCCUGGUGUAGCGGUGAAAUGCGCAGAUAUCAGGAGGAACACCGGUGGCGAAGGCGGAUCUCUGGGCCAUUACUGACGCUGAGGAGCGAAAGCGUGGGGAGCGAACAGGAUUAGAUACCCCCGUAGUCCCUGUCUCUUAUAA
RNAcentral lists this ribosomal RNA (301 nucleotides) under uncultured bacterium. RNAcentral describes it as "partial 16S ribosomal RNA". It matches the Rfam family "Bacterial small subunit ribosomal RNA", at positions 509 to 809 of the family's 1533-position model. The record is from RNAcentral.